Molecule: long non-coding RNA, 1043 nt
Organism: Oncorhynchus keta (chum salmon)
Lineage: Eukaryota; Metazoa; Chordata; Actinopteri; Salmoniformes; Salmonidae
Exons: 5
Source: RefSeq, a predicted model, not a curated record
CUGAGUUGAAUAGCAAGAAAACGAACUUUGAAUUGGCUGAUCAGUGCACUAGCUGACAGCAACAAUUGUGCAACUUCAAUUUACUAAAGAUACUUUACCAGAUUCUGUGAGCAAUGACUUUCUGAACAUUAACAAAUUCAACGAGCAGCAAUUUACAAGUCUGACUGAGAUUGUUUUCAAUUUCCUGUUGGAGCCAAAAGAGACGACCAGGCUCUUGCAGCAGCUGAGUGAGUUUGCAGAGGAGAAUGGGAUGAGUGCAGGCCCUCUGAGAAACCGUAUGAAAAGUUUCAUGCUGCUUCCCUGUGCAACCUAAAAUGGACAAAGUACAUGUGGUAAGUUUAUUUUAACUCAAAACCAAGAUUGGAAGAAAAACAUUCUAGGUGCCCUGAAGAAAAAUCUGAAGGCAGACCAAGUCUAAGAGGACCUUCUGGCUUUAGGUAUGUUGUAAUAUAUAUGUAAUAAACCCCAUGUACACUAUCAAAGCUGCAAAUACUCCAGUCUCCACAGUCCAUAUUGGUACUGAGCUUUACAGUGUCAUUAAACAACUUUUAACCAUAACUUUUAAUUGAUAGGAUUCAAUGAUGCCAAGGCAGCCCAUUUUUCACAACAGAGUUGACCCUCCCCCGGUUUUACAACUACCUCCGUGAAAUGGAGAGGGCCAAAGCCAGUAUGGACUGCUUCAGCUGAGCUUUAGCACCAGUAACAUGAGAAUGUACUGAAUGUGUCCUUGAGGGACAGGAGGAAACAUGAAUGGAGUUGCCAGCGACAGUGGUUGACAUUGGGUCUGCCCGAAAUGGCAUACUGUUCCCAUUACAGGACAAUACUUUUGAACGGGGGCAAAGUAGUGCACUAUAUAGUGAAUAGAGUGCAAUUUGGGACGUACAAUGGGUUCAAAAUAGAACAUACAGAAUCUGAAGGAAACGUCCAGAUUCUCACAUACAAUUAAACGAUUUCAAUGUUUUGUCUUUUGAAAUGUGCACAGUUGUUUUUCGCAGUAGAGAUUUUGUGUGCGUGAGAAAGUCUUCCGCGGGUGUAUUUUGAAU